UACGAAGGGUGCAAGCGUUACUCGGAAUUACUGGGCGUAAAGCGUGCGCAGGCGGUUAUGCAAGACAGAUGUGAAAUCCCCGGGCUCAACCUGGGAACUGCAUUUGUGACUGCAUGGCUAGAGUGCGGCAGAGGGGGAUGGAAUUCCGCGUGUAGCAGUGAAAUGCGUAGAUAUGCGGAGGAACACCGAUGGCGAAGGCAAUCCCCUGGGCCUGCACUGACGCUCAUGCACGAAAGCGUGGGGAGCAAACAGG
Molecule: ribosomal RNA, 253 nt
Filed under: uncultured bacterium
Lineage: Bacteria
Description: partial 16S ribosomal RNA
Rfam family: Bacterial small subunit ribosomal RNA
Source: RNAcentral